RNAcentral lists this ribosomal RNA (480 nucleotides) under uncultured Alteromonas sp. RNAcentral's name for it is "bacterial SSU rRNA". It matches the Rfam family "Bacterial small subunit ribosomal RNA", at positions 361 to 833 of the family's 1533-position model. Lineage: Bacteria; Pseudomonadati; Pseudomonadota; Gammaproteobacteria; Alteromonadales; Alteromonadaceae. The record is from RNAcentral.
AUAUUGCACAAUGGGGGAAACCCUGAUGCAGCCAUGCCGCGUGUGUGAAGAAGGCCUUCGGGUUGUAAAGCACUUUCAGUUGUGAGGAAAGUUUAGUAGUUAAUACCUGCUAGAUGUGACGUUAGCAACAGAAGAAGCACCGGCUAACUCCGUGCCAGCAGCCGCGGUAAUACGGAGGGUGCGAGCGUUAAUCGGAAUUACUGGGCGUAAAGCGCACGCAGGCGGUCUGUUAAGCUAGAUGUGAAAGCCCCGCGCUCAACGUGGGAGGGUCAUUUAGAACUGGCAGACUAGAGUCUUGGAGAGGGGAGUGGAAUUCCAGGUGUAGCGGUGAAAUGCGUAGAGAUCUGGAGGAACAUCAAUGGCGAAGGCAACUCCCUGGCCAAAGACUGACGCUCAUGUGCGAAAGUGUGGGUAGCGAACAGGAUUAGAUACCCUGGUAGUCCACACCGUAAACGCUGUCUACUAGCUGUUUGUGAAUUU